Non-coding RNA from Onychomys torridus (southern grasshopper mouse), 459 nucleotides. Lineage: Eukaryota; Metazoa; Chordata; Mammalia; Rodentia; Cricetidae. The record is from the annotation of a RefSeq genome assembly.
AUGGCUGUCCUGGUGCUGCUCCUCUGCCUGGUGAACUUUCCAAGCUGUGCCCUGUCCCAGGAGCAGCUGAAGGAGUCAGGACCUGGUCUGGUGCAGGCCUCACAGAGCCUGUCUCUCACCUGCACUGUCUCUGGGUUCUCAUUAACCAGCAAUGGUGUACACUGGGUCCUCCAGCCACCAGGAAAAGGACUGCAGUGGGUGGGAGUAAUAGGGUAUACUGGAAGCACAGAUUAUAAUUCAGCUCUCAAAUCCAGACUCAGCAUUAGCAGAGACACAUCCAAGGGCCAAGUGUUCUUAAAACUGAACAAUCUGCAAACUGAGGACACAGCCAUGUAUUACUGUACCAUAUACACAGUGAUGGAACUCAAGUGUGAGCCUGCACAAAAACCUCCCUAUGGAGACAUCUGUUACCAAAGGGGGGCACCAAUGACCAUCAGGACGCCUGAGGACCACAAGUAA